AGAGUUUGAUCCUGGCUCAGGACGAACGCUGGCGGCGUGCCUAAUACAUGCAAGUCGAGCGAACAGAAGGGAGCUUGCUCCCGGAUGUUAGCGGCGGACGGGUGAGUAACACGUGGGUAACCUGCCUGUAAGACUGGGAUAACUCCGGGAAACCGGAGCUAAUACCGGAUAGUUCCUUGAACCGCAUGGUUCAAGGAUGAAAGACGGUUUCGGCUGUCACUUACAGAUGGACCCGCGGCGCAUUAGCUAGUUGGUGGGGUAAUGGCUCACCAAGGCGACGAUGCGUAGCCGACCUGAGAGGGUGAUCGGCCACACUGGGACUGAGACACGGCCCAGACUCCUACGGGAGGCAGCAGUAGGGAAUCUUCCGCAAUGGACGAAAGUCUGACGGAGCAACGCCGCGUGAGUGAUGAAGGUUUUCGGAUCGUAAAGCUCUGUUGUUAGGGAAGAACAAGUGCGAGAGUAACUGCUCGCACCUUGACGGUACCUAACCAGAAAGCCACGGCUAACUACGUGCCAGCAGCCGCGGUAAUACGUAGGUGGCAAGCGUUGUCCGGAAUUAUUGGGCGUAAAGGGCUCGCAGGCGGUUUCUUAAGUCUGAUGUGAAAGCCCCCGGCUCAACCGGGGAGGGUCAUUGGAAACUGGGAAACUUGAGUGCAGAAGAGGAGAGUGGAAUUCCACGUGUAGCGGUGAAAUGCGUAGAGAUGUGGAGGAACACCAGUGGCGAAGGCGACUCUCUGGUCUGUAACUGACGCUGAGGAGCGAAAGCGUGGGGAGCGAGCAGGAUUAGAUACCCUGGUAGUCCACGCCGUAAACGAUGAGUGCUAAGUGUUAGGGGGUUUCCGCCCCUUAGUGCUGCAGCUAACGCAUUAAGCACUCCGCCUGGGGAGUACGGUCGCAAGACUGAAACUCAAAGGAAUUGACGGGGGCCCGCACAAGCGGUGGAGCAUGUGGUUUAAUUCGAAGCAACGCGAAGAACCUUACCAGGUCUUGACAUCCUCUGACAACCCUAGAGAUAGGGCUUUCCCUUCGGGGACAGAGUGACAGGUGGUGCAUGGUUGUCGUCAGCUCGUGUCGUGAGAUGUUGGGUUAAGUCCCGCAACGAGCGCAACCCUUGAUCUUAGUUGCCAGCAUUUAGUUGGGCACUCUAAGGUGACUGCCGGUGACAAACCGGAGGAAGGUGGGGAUGACGUCAAAUCAUCAUGCCCCUUAUGACCUGGGCUACACACGUGCUACAAUGGACAGAACAAAGGGCUGCAAGACCGCAAGGUUUAGCCAAUCCCAUAAAUCUGUUCUCAGUUCGGAUCGCAGUCUGCAACUCGACUGCGUGAAGCUGGAAUCGCUAGUAAUCGCGGAUCAGCAUGCCGCGGUGAGUACGUUCCCGGGUCUUGUACACACGC
Molecule: ribosomal RNA, 1400 nt
Filed under: Bacillus pumilus
Lineage: Bacteria; Bacillati; Bacillota; Bacilli; Caryophanales; Bacillaceae
Description: bacterial SSU rRNA
Rfam family: Bacterial small subunit ribosomal RNA
Source: RNAcentral